RNA transcript from Arachis duranensis, 1652 nucleotides. It is a transcript of the gene named phosphatidylinositol/phosphatidylcholine transfer protein SFH11-like, with no coding region annotated. NCBI's taxonomy places the organism in Eukaryota, Viridiplantae, Streptophyta, Magnoliopsida, Fabales, Fabaceae. The transcript has 8 exons. The record is from RefSeq and is a predicted model, not a curated record.
UCAUGAAGGAUAUUGCAUAUCAUCAAUACACCAGGCCAACUUCUAUCCAGGCACAGGCCAUGCCAAUUGCUCUUAGUGGAAGGGAUCUACUUGGGUGUACUGAAACUGGUAGUGGGAAAAUUGUAACUUUCACAAUUCCUAUGAUACAGCAUUACAUGGCUCAAUCUCCUAUUUAGUGUGGUGAUGGUUCUCUGGCAUUAGUUUUGGCUCCUACUAGAGAACUUGUUCAACAAAUAGAGAAAGAGAUAGCUUAAAGGCUUUAACAGAUCUCGAGUCAUUGAAAACUGCCAUAGUUGUGGGUGGAACUAACAUUGAAAUGCAGUUUUUCAGAUCUUGAAAAGCCACAAGGUGAAUUCGAUGGAAAAGCAUGUGCAGCCAUUGAGCAGAGUAGUCUUAUUUCUCUCUAUGAUACUAUGUUCCUCCAGCUUGAUGUGACUUCAUCCCAACUUCUUGUGAAUGAUGGCUUCUUUAGGGAUGCAGGUUUCAGAAAACAACUUUCAAACACUGUGCACUCACUAUUGGAUUUAAGAGUUAUCCUCAUUUUCAAUGAAAAUGAUGCUGUUAGUACUAGGAAGACACCAUAUGAGGUAUCUUGAUUUUCCUUAUCACCUUUUAUCUAUUGUUUUCUUUACUUCUAUUAAUUUUAAAAGUUCUAUUAGUACUUCAUAUGUUAUAUUUCCAAUUUUUUGGUAGAUAUAUACUCACAGAUCUAAUUAGGAAGACAUAUACUACUUGUAGCGAAUGUUGUAUAGAAUUUGAGGUGGAUGGACAAUACAAGUUAAACUAGAACUUGUAGUAUAUGAUUUGAAUAUUUUUCCGUGCUUCACUAUUUGUGAAUGACUUAUAUAUGGUUUGCUUUGACAUAGGCAAUGAUUCUUCCUGCUUAGCUUCCAGAUUAGUUGCUCUAUAGAAUUUGAAUAUUUCAGCUUAUAGCAAAAGUUCAAGUAUGGAUCUUUAUUAUAUUCCAUCAUAUUAUUCCAUUUUCAGAUAUCUUAAACUAACAAGAUUCUUAUUUCAGGUGUUAGGUUCUAACUAUCUUAGUGUGUUACUUGAGGCUAUUGAUAUAAGGUCAUAUCCUUGAGAGAAGAGACGGAUAGUAAAAAUGAUUCAAAUAAUGGUGAUGUGGCUUCAGAAGAUUCUCCUUCGUGCCCAAAAAGGUGGGAAACCAAAAUGACUUUGGUUUUAAUCUAGUACUUGAUGAGUCAGCAUGUGCUGGAUCAAACUCAAAAUAUAAGUUAGCAUCGCAAAAAACUAAUUGCCUGGAAGUUGCUUUUGGAGACACCAAGAACGCAGGUUAUGGAAUCGGUAGCCUUCUGGUAGAUGCGGUCGCUGGGUGGCGCUAUAUGUAUGGAGUUAGUAGUCCUUUGGCAGUAAUAAUGGGAAUUAAAAUGUGUUGGCUCCCAACUUCUCCUAGAUGGCUACUUUUAUGUGCUAUAUAGGGAAAAGGGGAUGGAGAGAAUUUGAAUAGCACCAUAAUUCAUUAUAUGUUCCGUCUUCGAGAUCAAGCUGUUGAUGACUCAGCUCAUCGGCAAGUGGAUGAAAUUCUGGCAAAGCUUGCUUAUGUGGGUGAAGAAAAAGAGGUUACUUUUGGAGAAAUGUUCAGAGGAAAAUGCUUGAAAGCCCUUACCAUUGGUGCAGGAUUGGUCUUGUUU